CGCAUGCAGGUGGUUUGUUAAGUCAGAUGUGAAAAGCCCGGGGCUCAACCUCGGAAUUGCAUUUGAAACUGGCAGACUAGAGUACUGUAGAGGGGGUAGAAUUUCAGGUGUAGCGGUGAAAUGCGUAGAGAUCUGAAGGAAUACCGGUGGCGAAGGCGGCCCCCUGGACAGAUACUGACACUCAGAUGCGAAAGCGUGGGGAGCAAACAGGAUUAGAUACCCUGGUAG
Molecule: ribosomal RNA, 228 nt
Filed under: uncultured bacterium
Lineage: Bacteria
Description: partial 16S ribosomal RNA
Rfam family: Bacterial small subunit ribosomal RNA
Source: RNAcentral